CCUACGGGAGGCAGCAGUGGGGAAUAUUGGACAAUGGGCGAAAGCCUGAUCCAGCCAUGCCGCGUGUGUGAAGAAGGCCUUCGGGUUGUAAAGCACUUUCAGUGGGGAAGAAAGCCUUGGGGCUAAUACCCUCGAGGAAGGACAUCACCCACAGAAGAAGCACCGGCUAACUCCGUGCCAGCAGCCGCGGUAAUACGGAGGGUGCGAGCGUUAAUCGGAAUUACUGGGCGUAAAGCGCGCGUAGGCGGUCUGAUAAGCCGGUUGUGAAAGCCCCGGGCUCAACCUGGGAACGGCAUCCGGAACUGUCAGGCUAGAGUGCAGGAGAGGAAGGUAGAAUUCCCGGUGUAGCGGUGAAAUGCGUAGAGAUCGGGAGGAAUACCAGUGGCGAAAGCGGCCUUCUGGACUGACACUGACGCUGAGGUGCGAAAGCGUGGGUAGCAAACAGGAUUAGAUACCCCAGUAGUC
This 465-nucleotide ribosomal RNA is filed under the name Vreelandella stevensii. RNAcentral's name for it is "partial 16S ribosomal RNA". It matches the Rfam family "Bacterial small subunit ribosomal RNA", at positions 338 to 795 of the family's 1533-position model. The record is from RNAcentral. Lineage: Bacteria; Pseudomonadati; Pseudomonadota; Gammaproteobacteria; Oceanospirillales; Halomonadaceae.